UACGUAGGUGGCAAGCGUUGUCCGGAUUUACUGGGCGUAAAGGGCGUGCAGGCGGUUUUUUAAGUGCGGGGGGAAAGCUCCCGGCUCAACUGGGAGAGGUCCUUGCAUACUGGCGAACUCGAGGGAGGCAGAGGAAAGUGGAAUUCCCGGUGUAGUGGUGAUAUGCGUAGAUAUCGGGAGGAACACCUGUGGCGAAGGCGGCUUUCUGGGCCUUACCUGACGCUGAGACGCGAAAGCGUGGGGAGCGAACCGG
This 253-nucleotide ribosomal RNA is filed under the name uncultured bacterium. Its description in RNAcentral is "partial 16S ribosomal RNA". It matches the Rfam family "Bacterial small subunit ribosomal RNA", at positions 524 to 776 of the family's 1533-position model. The record is from RNAcentral.